RNAcentral lists this ribosomal RNA (433 nucleotides) under uncultured bacterium. Its description in RNAcentral is "partial 16S ribosomal RNA". It matches the Rfam family "Bacterial small subunit ribosomal RNA", at positions 29 to 507 of the family's 1533-position model. The record is from RNAcentral.
AACGAACGCUGGCGGCAUGCCUAACACAUGCAAGUCGAACGAGACCUUCGGGUCUAGUGGCGCACGGGUGCGUAACGCGUGGGAACCUGCCCUUAGGUUCGGAAUAACUCCCCGAAAGGGGUGCUAAUACCGGAUAAUGUCUUCGGACCAAAGAUUUAUCGCCUUUGGAUGGGCCCGCGUUGGAUUAGCUAGUUGGUAGGGUAAAAGCCUACCAAGGCGACGAUCCAUAGCUGGUCUGAGAGGAUGAUCAGCUACACUGGGACUGAGACACGGCCCACACUCGUACGGGAGGGAGCAGUAGGGAAUAUUGGAGGAUGGGCGAAAGCCUGAUACAGCAAUGCCGCGUGAGUGAUGAAGGCCUUAGGGUUGUAAAGCUCUUUUACCCGGGAUGAUAAUGACAGUAACGGGAGAAUAAGCUCCGGCUAACUCCGUG